This 199-nucleotide long non-coding RNA is filed under the name Salvia miltiorrhiza (redroot sage). RNAcentral describes it as "long non-coding RNA (SMIL_LNC002081)". Lineage: Eukaryota; Viridiplantae; Streptophyta; Magnoliopsida; Lamiales; Lamiaceae. The record is from RNAcentral.
UCGUGUCAUAAUUUACUUAAGAAAGCCAAAAAUAAAAAUACUCAAAAGAACCAACUACACAACAACUCACUAACAGUCAAUUGGCAAAAUCAUCAAAAACAUGCAACACAAUAGUCAUUUCCAAUUCUUGAGUUUAAAUCUUGAAUCUAGCUCUGACUUCAAGAGAAAGUCUCUUAAUCCUGAAUUUGGGAUCCAUGCA